ACGCUGGCGGCAGGCCUAAUACAUGCAAGUCGAGCGGCCCUUCGGGGCAGCGGCGGACGGGUGAGUAACGCGUGGGAACGUGCCCUUUGGUACGGGAUAACUGGGGGAAACUUCAGCUAAUACCGUAUGUGCCCUACGGGGGAAAGAUUUAUCGCCAUUGGAGCGGCCCGCGUUGGAUUAGCUAGUUGGUGGGGUAAAGGCUCACCAAGGCUACGAUCCAUAGCUGGUCUGAGAGGAUGAUCAGCCACACUGGGACUGAGACACGGCCCAGACUCCUACGGGAGGCAGCAGUAGGGAAUCUUGCGCAAUGGGCGAAAGCCUGACGCAGCCAUGCCGCGUGAAUGAUGAAGGUCUUAGGAUUGUAAAAUUCUUUCACCGGGGAAGAUAAUGACGGUACCCGGAGAAGAAGCCCCGGCUAACUUCGUGCCAGCAGCCGCGGUAAUACGAAGGGGGCUAGCGUUGCUCGGAAUUACUGGGCGUAAAGGGCGCGUAGGCGGAUGUUUAAGUCGGGGGUGAAAGCCCGGGGCUCAACCUCGGAAUUGCCUUCGAUACUGGACAUCUUGAGUACGGGAGAGGUGAGUGGAACUCCGAGUGUAGAGGUGAAAUUCGUAGAUAUUCGGAAGAACACCAGUGGCGAAGGCGACUCACUGGCCCGUUACUGACGCUGAGGCGCGAA
Molecule: ribosomal RNA, 676 nt
Filed under: uncultured Alphaproteobacteria bacterium
Lineage: Bacteria; Pseudomonadati; Pseudomonadota; Alphaproteobacteria
Description: bacterial SSU rRNA
Rfam family: Bacterial small subunit ribosomal RNA
Source: RNAcentral